Myotis myotis is the source of this 344-nucleotide long non-coding RNA. RefSeq lists it as uncharacterized. The transcript is spliced from 3 exons. NCBI's taxonomy places the organism in Eukaryota, Metazoa, Chordata, Mammalia, Chiroptera, Vespertilionidae. The record is from RefSeq and is a predicted model, not a curated record.
GCGAAGGUCUCGGAGGGCCCGGCCCCGGGCUGCGAGGCGAACCCCGCUGCCUGAGCCAGUUCCCCAACCCGGUCGGAGAAUCCCUGCAGCUGCUCCGGCCGCACGUCCACCAGGGUGUGGGCACGAUUCUCCCCUUUCUCGGAUGAAGAAACUGGGGCUCUGCCCCGGCGGGUUGAAGCGGUGGCUAGAGCGCCGGCCCGCACAUGGAAGCGUUGCAGAUUCCCAACUCACCUGAAACCUCCUGCGUGGCCAGCGCGCCGCCCUGGCCAGGGUUUGCAGCAGGUGGCGCCCGUCCACGGAGCCCAGUAGCAGCACAUCUAGCUCGGGGGUCCCGUGCUCCGCAU